CCUACGGGAGGCUGCAGUAGGGAAUAUUGCUCAAUGGGGGAAACGCUGAAGCAGCAACGCCGCGUGAGGGAUGAAGGUUUUACGGGUUGUAAAUCCUUUUGUUAGAGGAGCUAAUCACAGUAUCUGACGAAUAAUCAGCGGCUAAGUCCAUCCCAGCUGCCGCAGUUAUGAGGAGGGUGCAGGCGUUACUCGGAAUCACUGGGCGUUAACCGCGCCUAUGCGGGAUAGCAAGUCAGCUGUGAAAUCCGAAGGCUUGAACCUCGAACUGCAGUUGAAACUGUUAUCCUAGAGUAAGCGAGAGGUAGGCGGAAUUCUUGGUGUAGGGGUGAAAUGCGUAGAGAUCAAGAGGAACACUGAUUGCGAAGGCGGCAUGCUGGAACGUAACUGACGCUGAUGCGCGAAAGCGUGGGGAGCGAACAGGAUUAGAUACCCGAGUAGUC
RNAcentral lists this ribosomal RNA (440 nucleotides) under uncultured bacterium. RNAcentral describes it as "partial 16S ribosomal RNA". It matches the Rfam family "Bacterial small subunit ribosomal RNA", at positions 338 to 795 of the family's 1533-position model. The record is from RNAcentral.